Molecule: long non-coding RNA, 1168 nt
Filed under: Astyanax mexicanus (Mexican tetra)
Lineage: Eukaryota; Metazoa; Chordata; Actinopteri; Characiformes; Acestrorhamphidae
Description: lncRNA (ENSAMXG00005024701.1)
Source: RNAcentral
UUUUGAUAAAAUUCUUUUGUGCAUUACAUUUUGCCGUUUCCAAAUUCCAUACGCAUGUUCACCAAGUGUAUCAAUACCGCUCUUCACCACUAGAUGGAAACCAAGCCUGCACUUUUGCCAGAUUCAGCAAAACAGGAUUUUAAGUCAGUCAGAUAUUCUAGAAUUUUGACUUAGUUUGAAUAACGGAGACAGUAAAACAUAAAUAUGCUCUCAUGGCUUUUAAAUUUCCAUGUGGAAACAAAGCCAGUGGAAACAUGUCUGGCCGGUUAAAGACUGAGAGUGGUGGCCGUGGCAACAGAUGCUGCUGGGUGUUUUUUCUUCGACACCCACUGCACGUGGCUGAGGUUGGAGCGUUGGCAGGCCGGCUGCUCACCACAGUCAUCCUGGCACCGGACCUCACAAGGGCCUGAGUCUGUUAAUCCUAUUACAAAUGUGUGAAUACCAGCUGGGACAACGAGGAGGGGAGGGAGAGGACAGUGGGACGUGUGUGUGUGUGUGUGUGUGUGUGUGUGUGUGUGUGUGUGUGUGUGUGUGUGUGUGUUUGUGUGUGAAAGAGUGUAUGUAUUGAAUACAUAAAGAUUAAUUUGCACAGCCCAAAUCUGGAACCUCCUCUUUUUUACUAGUAUGUGAGAAUGUUUUUGACAUACAUGGCCCUUACUUUUUAAUUACUGUGUGUGUGUGUGUGAGUGAGAGAGAGAGAGAGAGAGAGGGAGAGAGAGAGAAAGAGAGAGCAAGAGAGAGAGAGAGAGAGACAGAGAGUCUGAGGUAAGUACUAAGAGCAACCCCAUUUUUACCAGUAUGGUAUGUUUUUGACAGGGACAGGAGAGGCCUUACCUUUUUAACUACUGUGUGUGUGUGUGUGAGAGAGAGAGAGAGAGAAAAAGACAGAAAGAGAAAGACAGAGAGUCAGAGGUAAGUUCUAAAAGGACCCCCCUUUUUUUACAGGUAUGGUGAGUAUGUUUUUGACUGGGACAAAGAUGGGCCUUACCUUUUUAAAUACUGUGUGUGUGUGUGUGUGUGAGAGAGGGAGAGAGAGAGAGACGGAGAGAGAGACAGAGAGUCAGAGGUAACUGCUAAGAGGUGUGUAAGGCAGACAGCAGUGGGACAGGCCCAGUGUGUUUCCUCAAGAGUUCAAGCACCAAAAAAAUAAAUAAGUCUUUUGAUCACA